RNAcentral lists this non-coding RNA (30 nucleotides) under Rattus norvegicus (Norway rat). Lineage: Eukaryota; Metazoa; Chordata; Mammalia; Rodentia; Muridae. The record is from RNAcentral.
UUGAAAGAUCCCAGAGUCUCAUUCAUUUGC